This 229-nucleotide long non-coding RNA is filed under the name Ananas comosus (pineapple). RNAcentral describes it as "long non-coding RNA (ACOM_LNC036741)". The record is from RNAcentral. Lineage: Eukaryota; Viridiplantae; Streptophyta; Magnoliopsida; Poales; Bromeliaceae.
CGUCUCAUAUUACCAUUAAAAUUACAAAAUUUGAAACUAUUUUAUCAUUAGGUCAAUGACGUCGAAAAAUUUAAAAGUUGAUUUCUAAAUAUUUUAAAUGAUAUAGAUCACAUUCAACGGUGUCGAUCGUCGAUUUGGAAAAGCUUCUUUAUCGAAAACAAAUGGAUGACAACGGAACCGAUUUGCUACUGAUAGCAUUCCAGCUCCAACUCCAUAUGUAUAUAUAUGU